This 300-nucleotide ribosomal RNA is filed under the name Triticum aestivum (bread wheat). RNAcentral describes it as "partial small subunit ribosomal RNA". Lineage: Eukaryota; Viridiplantae; Streptophyta; Magnoliopsida; Poales; Poaceae. The record is from RNAcentral.
AUGAUACGUUUUGGGUCCUGGAUCACAGGAUCAGAUCACUUGCACCGCACAGUAGGUGACGAGAAUCUGAAUAAUGCUGUCUUUUGGGUUGUUGCUUUUUUUAUCGCUGAAUGUGUUCCUUGUGCGGUUUUCUUUGUGCUAGUGGACCGGAUGACACGGAAACAUGCAGUAUAUAUUCAAAAAUCAGUACUCUUGUAUAAGAUGACAAGAUGUACACGCGAGUGCUCUGUUCUUGUACUAGCAUUGUUAAAUCUAGAAAAAGUAUUGGAUCUCUUUGUUUAUUUAUGCCCGGCCAUGUGA